GGUUGUGUCGUCCAGAGGUUAAGACGUGGGAUUUUGACUAGUUGGAUUUCCCACAACCCGGGUUCGAAUCCCGGCAUGACCU
RNAcentral lists this transfer RNA (82 nucleotides) under Calocera cornea HHB12733. It matches the Rfam family "tRNA". Rfam says of the family: Transfer RNA (tRNA) molecules are approximately 80 nucleotides in length. Lineage: Eukaryota; Fungi; Basidiomycota; Dacrymycetes; Dacrymycetales; Dacrymycetaceae. The record is from Rfam by way of RNAcentral.